CCUGUAUGUGAGUGGUUUACCAUCCAGCAGCAACAUUUGCCUAAUCCAUAUUUGGAGGCCUCCACCUGCAGCGUGAGGUCUUUGCUUGUUUCCUAGAAUGCUAACACAGGUCCUGGCUCCCAGGUAGUGAUGUCUUUCAUCUUUUUGCAAGCUCCUUCAUGUUGUUUGUCCCAUACAAACUCACUGUCAUGCCACAGUAGCUGUCUCAGAGGUACAAUGUCUGAAAGGCUUGGUGCAAACUUUGAAAGAUAAUUGACCAUGCCGAGAUCAUCCUCCUGAGAUUAUGGUCAUGUUCCUCCUAAGUCUUUCUGUAGACCAAGAUAUCAUCCACAAUGGCCCCAACUCCAGGCAGACUUUUGUAAAUCUCAUUUAUUUUCCGCUUGAAAAUAUCCUGGGCUGAGAGAAUGCCAAAGGGUAACCAACAAAAUCGGUAUCUUCUGAAGAUUGUAUUGAAAGUGGUCAGUUUCGAUGUUUCUUCAGAAAGCUUGAUUGCCCAGUAGCCAGAUCUAGCAUCCAUCACGCUGAAGUAACAGGCUCCUGCCAACUUUGGUGUGAUAUUAUCUAAUGUAGGCAGAGGAUAGGUUGGCCGCCUUAUAGCCUUAUUAAGAUCCUGUGGAUCCAGACAUAGUCUCAGUUUACCAGUCUUGGGCUUCUAGACAACACAGAGGGCAUUUACCCAAUCUGUUGGCUCUGUCUUAUUCACAAUGAUAUCUUGCUUCUCCAUGGGGUCCAGCUCCUCUUUCAGCCUGUCUUGCAGGGUGAAAGGAACUCUUCUUGGUGGGUAAAUGACUGGCACGGUUGUCGGGUCAAGCUGGAUGUUGCAUUCUCCAGGAAACAGACCAAUGCCUAUAAACAUGUAACCCGCUGCACCAAGUACUGCAGACACGAUGGGUUCUGAAUAUGGCCAGUGUUCAGAGAUUCUGGUUCGCCUACGGAGAAUAAGGAUCUCAACAACAACAAUGAAUCACUCAGACACGAUUUCAAGGGCUUCAAAUGAAAACUCAGAAAACUCAACUUCAAUCCCUCUUCAGACACAACUUCUCAUCAGUAAAUGAGAAGUUAACCCUUUGUGUACUCUUUAGUACUGUGUACCGUUUAAUAAAAAAAAAAUUACAAAAAUUUAACUUUUGUUCUGACAGAAAAAAAUGUGUAUCAAUGACUCUGUGCUCACCUCUUUGAGUGAAACUCUGAUUCCAGGUAAAUUUUACACUUAACCCUUACUGGAUACACUUUCUGUAUUUCAAGGAAUAAAUUUCCCUUUCUUCUCUCAAUU
Carassius auratus (goldfish) is the source of this 1273-nucleotide long non-coding RNA. RefSeq lists it as uncharacterized. The record is from RefSeq and is a predicted model, not a curated record. The transcript has 2 exons. NCBI's taxonomy places the organism in Eukaryota, Metazoa, Chordata, Actinopteri, Cypriniformes, Cyprinidae.